This 752-nucleotide ribosomal RNA is filed under the name uncultured bacterium. RNAcentral's name for it is "bacterial SSU rRNA". It matches the Rfam family "Bacterial small subunit ribosomal RNA", at positions 121 to 867 of the family's 1533-position model. The record is from RNAcentral.
GGAACGUGCCUAGUAGUGGGGAACAACCAGCCGAGAGGUUGGCUAAUACCGCAUACGACCUACGGGUGAAAGCAGGGGAUCUUCGGACCUUGCGCUAUUAGAGCGGCCGAUAUCUGAUUAGGUAGUUGGUGGGGUAAAGGCCUACCAAGCCGACGAUCAGUAGCUGGUCUGAGAGGACGAUCAGCCACACUGGAACUGAGACACGGUCCAGACUCCUACGGGAGGCAGCAGUGGGGAAUUUUGGACAAUGGGGGAAACCCUGAUCCAGCCAUUCCGCGUGAGUGAAGAAGGCCUUCGGGUUGUAAAGCUCUUUCGCAAGGGAAGAAAUUUUAUUGUCGAAUAAACAGUAAAGAUGACGGUACCUUGAGAAGAAGCACCGGCUAACUACGUGCCAGCAGCCGCGGUAAUACGUAGGGUGCGAGCGUUAAUCGGAAUUACUGGGCGUAAAGCGUGCGCAGGCGGUCUUAUAAGUCAGAUGUGAAAUCCCCGAGCUCAACUUGGGAACUGCGUUUGAAACUGUAAGACUAGAGUGUGUCAGAGGGAGGUAGAAUUCCACGUGUAGCAGUGAAAUGCGUAGAUAUGUGGAGGAAUACCAAUGGCGAAGGCAGCCUCCUGGGAUAACACUGACGCUCAUGCACGAAAGCGUGGGGAGCAAACAGGAUUAGAUACCCUGGUAGUCCACGCCCUAAACGAUGUCUACUAGUUGUUGGUGGAGUAAAAUCCAUGAGUAACGCAGCUAACGCGUGAAGUAG